GCGGCCCGAAAUCGUAGGACUUCCGAAAGCAGCGGCGGCGUUUGCUUCACUGCUUGGAAGUGUGAGUGCGCGAAGAUGCGAAAGGUGGUUUUGAUUACCGGGGCUAGCAGUGGCAUUGGCCUGGCCCUCUGCAAGCGGCUGCUGGCGGAAGAUGAUGAGCUUCAUCUGUGUUUGGCGUGCAGGAAUAUGAGCAAGGCAGAAGCUGUCUGUGCUGCUCUGCUGGCCUCUCACCCCACUGCUGAGGUCACCAUUGUCCAGGUGGAUGUCAGCAACCUGCAGUCAUUCUUCCGGGCCUCCAAGGAACUUAAGCAAAGUUGCAGGUUUCAGAGAUUAGACCGUAUAUAUCUAAAUGCUGGGAUCAUGCCUAAUCCACAACUAAAUAUCAAAGCACUUCUCUUUGGCCUCUUUUCAAGAAAAGUGAUUCAUAUGUUCUCCACAGCUGAAGGCCUGCUGACCCAGGGUGAUAAGAUCACUGCUGAUGGACUUCAGGAGGUGUUUGAGACCGAUGUCUUUGGCCAUUUUAUCCUGAUUCGGGAACUGGAGCCUCUCCUCUGUCACAGUGACAAUCCAUCUCAGCUCAUCUGGACAUCAUCUCGCAAUGCAAGGAAAUCUAAUUUCAGCCUCGAGGACUUCCAGCACAGCAAAGGCAAGGAACCCUACAGCUCUUCCAAAUAUGCCACUGACCUUUUGAGUGUGGCUUUGAACAGGAACUUUCAACCAGCAGCUUCGCUUUUUUGCAAAUGCAUUCACUUUGACACCAUAUAAUGGAACAGAAGCUCUGGUAUGGCUUUUCCACCAAAAGCCUGAAUCUGUCAAUCCUCUGAUCAAAUAUCUGAGUGCCACCACUGGCUUUGGAAGAAAUUACAUUAUGACCCAGAAGAUGGACCUAGAUGAAGACACUGCUGAAAAAUUUUAUCAAAAGUUACUGGAACUGGAAAAGCACAUUAGGGUCACUAUUCAAAAAACAGAUAAUCAGGCCAGGCUCAGUGGCUCAUGCCUAUAAUUCCAGCACUUUGGGAGGCCAAGGCAGAAGGAUCACUUGAGACCAGGAGUUCGAGACCAGCCUGAGAAACAUAGUGAGCCCUUGUCUCUACAAAAAGAAAUAAAAAUAAUAGCUGGGUGUGGUGGCAUGCGCAUGUAGUCCCAACUACUCAGGAGGAUGAGGUGGGGGGAUCUCUUGAGGCUGGGAGGCGGAGGUUGCAGUGAGCUGAGAUUGUGCCACUGCACUCCAGCCUGGGUGACAGCGAGACCCUGUCUCAAAACAUAUAUAUAUUUAAUAUAUAUGUAAAGCCAGAGCUGACAAUGACACUCUGGAACAUUGCAUACCUUCUGUACAUUCUGGGGUACAUGGAUUUCUACUGAGUUGGAUAAUAUGCAUUUGUAAUAAACUAUGAACUAUGA
This is an RNA transcript of Homo sapiens (human), 1401 nucleotides long. It is a transcript of the gene named hydroxysteroid 17-beta dehydrogenase 7 pseudogene 2, with no coding region annotated. Lineage: Eukaryota; Metazoa; Chordata; Mammalia; Primates; Hominidae. The record is from RefSeq and is marked provisional. The transcript has 8 exons.